CAGAUUGUAGCUUAUAUUAAAGCAAAUUAUUUACAUUAAUAAGAAAUCUUAAUGAUUUUUCUGA
RNAcentral lists this transfer RNA (64 nucleotides) under Agnesiella aldera. RNAcentral's name for it is "tRNA-Val". Lineage: Eukaryota; Metazoa; Arthropoda; Insecta; Hemiptera; Cicadellidae. RNAcentral also lists the same sequence under 1 other name. The record is from RNAcentral.